GACGAACGCUGGCGGCGUGCUUAACACAUGCAAGUCGAACGGAAAGGCCCUGCUUUUGUGGGGUGCUCGAGUGGCGAACGGGUGAGUAACACGUGAGUAACCCGCCCCUGACUUUGGGAUAACUUCAGGAAACUGGGGCGAAUACCGGGUAGGAGCUCUUGCUGCAUGGUGUGGGUUGGAAAGUUUCGGCGGUUGGGGAUGGAUUCGCGGCUUAUCAGCUUGUUGGUGGGGUAGUGGCUUACCAAGGCUUUGACGGGUAGCCGGCCUGGGAGGGUGACCGGCCACAUUGGGACUGAGGUACGGCGCAGAAUGCUAUGGGAGGCAGUAGUGGGGAAUAUUGCACAAUGAGCGGACGCCUGAUGCAGCAGCGCCGCGUGCGGAAUGACGGCCUUCGGGUUGUAAACCGCUUUCGCCUGUGACGAAGCGUGAGUGACGGUAAUGGGUAAAGAAGCACCGGCUAACUACGUG
RNAcentral lists this ribosomal RNA (468 nucleotides) under uncultured bacterium. Its description in RNAcentral is "partial 16S ribosomal RNA". It matches the Rfam family "Bacterial small subunit ribosomal RNA", at positions 28 to 507 of the family's 1533-position model. The record is from RNAcentral.